Molecule: ribosomal RNA, 457 nt
Filed under: uncultured Rhodoferax sp.
Lineage: Bacteria; Pseudomonadati; Pseudomonadota; Betaproteobacteria; Burkholderiales; Comamonadaceae
Description: bacterial SSU rRNA
Rfam family: Bacterial small subunit ribosomal RNA
Source: RNAcentral
ACAAGCGGUGGAUGAUGUGGUUUAAUUCGAUGACAACGCGAAAACCUUACCCACCUUUGACAUGUACGGAACCCUUUAGAGAUAGAGGGGUGCUCGAAAGAGAGCCGUAACACAGGUGCUGCAUGACUGUCGUCAGCUCGUGUCGUGAGAUGUUGGGUUAAGUCCCGCAACGAGCGCAACCCUUGUCAUUAGUUGCUACAUUCAGUUGGGCACUCUAAUGAGACUGCCGGUGACAAGCCGGAGGAAGGUGGGGAUGACGUCAAGUCCUCAUGGCCCUUAUAGGUGGGGCUACACACGUCAUACAAUGGCUGGUACAAAGGGUUGCCAACCCGCGAGGGGGAGCCAAUCCCAUAAAGCCAGUCGUAGUCCGGAUCGUAGUCUGCAACUCGACUACGUGAAGUCGGAAUCGCUAGUAAUCGUGGAUCAGAAUGUCACGGUGAAUACGUUCCCGGGUCUU